This 253-nucleotide ribosomal RNA is filed under the name uncultured bacterium. RNAcentral describes it as "partial 16S ribosomal RNA". It matches the Rfam family "Bacterial small subunit ribosomal RNA", at positions 524 to 776 of the family's 1533-position model. The record is from RNAcentral.
GACGUAGGGUGCGAGCGUUGUCCGGAUUUAUUGGGCGUAAAGAGCUCGUAGGCGGCUCGUCGCGUCAGCUGUGAAAACCCGCGGCUUAACUGUGGGCUUGCAGCUGAUACGGGCGGGCUAGAGUUCGGUAGGGGAGACUGGAAUUCCUGGUGUAGCGGUGAAAUGCGCAGAUAUCAGGAGGAACACCGGUGGCGAAGGCGGGUCUCUGGGCCGAUACUGACGCUGAGGAGCGAAAGCGUGGGGAGCGAACAGG